GGCCAUAUCACGUUGAAAUACCGGUUGAAACACCGGUUCUCGUAUGAUCACGAGAGUUAAGCAACGUUGAAACUGUCCAGUACUUAGAUGGGCGAUCCCUAGGAAGUACCAGAUGUUUC
Acanthosepion pharaonis is the source of this 119-nucleotide non-coding RNA. The record is from the annotation of a GenBank genome assembly. NCBI's taxonomy places the organism in Eukaryota, Metazoa, Mollusca, Cephalopoda, Sepiida, Sepiidae.